This 413-nucleotide ribosomal RNA is filed under the name Paroedura neglecta. RNAcentral describes it as "partial small subunit ribosomal RNA". It matches the Rfam family "Bacterial small subunit ribosomal RNA", at positions 915 to 1521 of the family's 1533-position model. The record is from RNAcentral. Lineage: Eukaryota; Metazoa; Chordata; Lepidosauria; Squamata; Gekkonidae.
GGUGUUGCAAACCACCCUAGAGGAGCCUGUCCUAUAAUCGAUAACCCACGUUCCACCUUACCCACCCUUGCCCAUAACAGUCUAUAUACCGCCGUCGCAAGCCAACCUUUUGAAAGUAUAACCGUAGGCAAAAUAGCCUGCCCGCUAACACGUCAGGUCAAGGUGUAGCUAAUGGGUGGGACUUUCGAUGGGCUACACUCUCUUUCCACAAGGGACAAUACCUCCAAUGAAAAAGGACAAAACGCCGGAUUUAGUAGUAAAUACGACAAGCAAGUCGAAUUGAAACAAGCGCUGCAACAUGUACAUACCGCCCGUCACCCCCCUCACACAAACCACCAAACUUAUAUAAAACAUCAACUCAGAAAAGAUGGGGAAAGUCGUAACAAGGUAAGUGUACUGGAAAGUGCACUUGG